Molecule: long non-coding RNA, 484 nt
Organism: Nothobranchius furzeri (turquoise killifish)
Lineage: Eukaryota; Metazoa; Chordata; Actinopteri; Cyprinodontiformes; Nothobranchiidae
Source: RefSeq, a predicted model, not a curated record
CUCCUUCAAAUGCGGUCGACGAAUGCGGCCUUCUUUUCGCCUGAAUGAAGGAUGGGUCGGGUGUAUCCUUCAAUAGGUAGCAUUUCCCAAGAUGCCUUGCGGGCCGGCCGGCAGAAAAACUUAAAAACAAUGGCGGACAGUGAAGCGGGAGCUGUCGGAGAGGAUUGCGCUUAUAAAUGACCAAAAGAGAAAACCAGGGAAUUUAUUAAGCUUAGGGCGGAGAUGGACCACAUGAUCACCGGAGCAAAGUAUUCGGCGGCUGUGGCAUGGAGACUAUUCUGGAGAAAAUGGGCAUCCAGGGGAAGGUGCCAGCGAUGAGCUUCUGGAGCUGAUCUGGGAGGACAUGAGGCUGCAGAGCAGCAGAGAGCACAGGAGAGAAGGAAGAACUUUGACAGCUUUUUACUUUGCUAGAAAAAAAUGGUUAAUGAAGAUUAAACAUGUACAUGUAAAAGAAAUAUCUAAAUAAAAUCAGUUCUGCAUUAAA